Long non-coding RNA from Passer domesticus (house sparrow), 645 nucleotides. RefSeq lists it as uncharacterized. The transcript is spliced from 3 exons. The record is from RefSeq and is a predicted model, not a curated record. Lineage: Eukaryota; Metazoa; Chordata; Aves; Passeriformes; Passeridae.
UGCUGCUUCUCAGAAGUGGGGGUUUUCUAGAAAGGCAGUACUCUUUCCCAGGCUGAUGGGUAGAGGACAUGGAAUGAGGCCAAGAAGAGAGUCAGCAGGCUUGCAAACAGCUUUACAUCAAAAUGGAUCUAGAAAAUCAACACAGAUCAAUCCCUCCAGCAGGGAUGAGAUCAGAAAGAUGUACUGGAAAAGAAAGUGAGACCUCAUCUUCACCUUAUGUUUUGGAAUAAUAGGGGCCAGCUGGAGGGGAAGUUUGAAAUGAACGACAGUGGCAUUGCAUCUCUCGACUGCUGAUUUAUAAACACUCUUGAUCAUAGAAAACAGACAUGAAGAUUUCUAUUAAUGUGCAAUUUGAAGGAGACUGUACAAUUGAAGAAGCAAACUGUAUACUCCAUUUUGAAUAUGGGCCUUAUCUGCAUUUUCUGCAAUUUUUUGCUUCCUAGGAAAGAGAUGAGCUACAGAACAAUAUUAAUACCAAAAUAAAUGAGCAGAAACUGCUCAUGAAUGCUUUGUGCCUGAAAAUUAGAACAGAAUUUCAAUUGAGUUUCUAGCUGUUACAGCGGUGAGGCUAUGGAACGAUCUCACCAUAGUAUGGUAAGCCCAAAAUCUAAUACACAUUCACACAUGUAUGUUUAUAUGUUAAAA